CGCUAGCUACAGGCUUAACACAUGCAAGUCGAGGGGCAGCAUGGUCUUAGCUUGCUAAGGCCGAUGGCGACCGGCGCACGGGUGAGUAACACGUAUCCAACCUGCCGUCUACUCUUGGACAGCCUUCUGAAAGGAAGAUUAAUACAAGAUGGCAUCAUGAGUCCGCAUGUUCACAUGAUUAAAGGUAUUCCGGUAGACGAUGGGGAUGCGUUCCAUUAGAUAGUAGGCGGGGUAACGGCCCACCUAGUCUUCGAUGGAUAGGGGUUCUGAGAGGAAGGUCCCCCACAUUGGAACUGAGACACGGUCCAAACUCCUACGGGAGGCAGCAGUGAGGAAUAUUGGUCAAUGGGCGAGAGCCUGAACCAGCCAAGUAGCGUGAAGGAUGACUGCCCUAUGGGUUGUAAACUUCUUUUAUAAAGGAAUAAAGUCGGGUAUGGAUACCCGUUUGCAUGUACUUUAUGAAUAAGGAUCGGCUAACUCCGUGCCAGCAGCCGCGGUAAUACGGAGGAUCCGAGCGUUAUCCGGAUUUAUUGGGUUUAAAGGGAGCGUAGAUGGAUGUUUAAGUCAGUUGUGAAAGUUUGCGGCUCAACCGUAAAAUUGCAGUUGAUACUGGAUAUCUUGAGUGCAGUUGAGGCAGGCGGAAUUCGUGGUGUAGCGGUGAAAUGCUUAGAUAUCACGAAGAACUCCGAUUGCGAAGGCAGCCUGCUAAGCUGCAACUGACAUUGAGGCUCGAAAGUGUGGGUAUCAAACAGGAUUAGAUACCCUGGUAGUCCACACGGUAAACGAUGAAUACUCGCUGUUUGCGAUAUACGGCAAGCGGCCAAGCGAAAGCGUUAAGUAUUCCACCUGGGGAGUACGCCGGCAACGGUGAAACUCAAAGGAAUUGACGGGGGCCCGCACAAGCGGAGGAACAUGUGGUUUAAUUCGAUGAUACGCGAGGAACCUUACCCGGGCUUAAAUUGCAGAUGAAUUACGGUGAAAGCCGUAAGCCGCAAGGCAUCUGUGAAGGUGCUGCAUGGUUGUCGUCAGCUCGUGCCGUGAGGUGUCGGCUUAAGUGCCAUAACGAGCGCAACCCUUGUUGUCAGUUACUAACAGGUUCCGCUGAGGACUCUGACAAGACUGCCAUCGUAAGAUGUGAGGAAGGUGGGGAUGACGUCAAAUCAGCACGGCCCUUACGUCCGGGGCUACACACGUGUUACAAUGGGGGGUACAGAGGGCCGCUACCACGCGAGUGGAUGCCAAUCCCCAAAACCUCUCUCAGUUCGGACUGGAGUCUGCAACCCGACUCCACGAAGCUGGAUUCGCUAGUAAUCGCGCAUCAGCCACGGCGCGGUGAAUACGUUCCCGGGCCUUGUACACACCGCCCGUCAAGCCAUGGGAGCCGGGGGUACCUGAAGUGCGUAACCGCGAGGAGCGCCCUAGGGUAAAACUGGUGA
This 1436-nucleotide ribosomal RNA is filed under the name uncultured organism. Its description in RNAcentral is "SSU rRNA". It matches the Rfam family "Bacterial small subunit ribosomal RNA". The record is from RNAcentral.